AAAAUAUGAAGGUGAACCACAAUGAAAAACAUACUUGCCCCAUUAGCAUGCAUAUAACGGAGCAACCAGCCCCCUUCAACAUCUCUCAUAAUGUGUUCUACGCUGUUGAAAGCUAGAUCCACAUGAGGUGUGUAAUGCAUAGCUAAAAAAACGCCGCCCCAUUAGCAUGCAUAUAACGGAGCAACCAGCCCCCUUCAACAUCUCUCAUAAUGUGUUCUACGCUGUUGAAAGCUAGAUCCACAUGAGGUGUUUAAUUCAUAGCUAAAAAAACGUCAGUCACUAUCUUAAUGACUAAACAAAUACCAGCUAACAAACCGAACCCCACCAAUAACUAAGAUUGCUCGGGGUUGGAUAAUCUAUCAAAUGCUG
RNAcentral lists this long non-coding RNA (369 nucleotides) under Nicotiana benthamiana. RNAcentral's name for it is "long non-coding RNA (NBEN_LNC034852)". The record is from RNAcentral. Lineage: Eukaryota; Viridiplantae; Streptophyta; Magnoliopsida; Solanales; Solanaceae.